GAUGAACGCUGGCGGCGUGCCUAAUACAUGCAAGUCGAGCGAACAGACGAGGAUCUUUCUCCUCUUACGUUACCGGCGGACGUGUGAUUCACACGUGUAUAACCUACCUAUAAGACUGGGAUAACUUCGGGAAACCUGAUCUAAUACCGGUUAUUAUAUUGAACCUCAUGGUUCUAUAGUGAACGACGUUUUUUCUGUCACUUAUAGAUGUUUCCUCGCCGCAUUAGCUAGUUGGUAAGGUAACGGCUUACCAAGGCAACGAUGCGUAGCCGACCUGAGAGGGUGAUCGGCCACACUGGAACUGAGACACGGUACAGACUACUACGGGAGGCAGCAGUAGGGAAUAUGAGGCAAUGGGCGAAAGCAUGACGGAGCAAAGCCGCGUGAGUGAAGAAGGUCUUCGGAUCGUAAAACACUGUUAGUAGGGAAGAAAAAAAGUGAAAGAAAAUAUGGACGUAUUGACGGUACCAAAACAGAAAGCAACGGCUAACUAUGUG
This 497-nucleotide ribosomal RNA is filed under the name uncultured bacterium. Its description in RNAcentral is "partial 16S ribosomal RNA". It matches the Rfam family "Bacterial small subunit ribosomal RNA", at positions 28 to 507 of the family's 1533-position model. The record is from RNAcentral.